This 322-nucleotide small nucleolar RNA is filed under the name Buceros rhinoceros silvestris. Lineage: Eukaryota; Metazoa; Chordata; Aves; Bucerotiformes; Bucerotidae. The record is from RNAcentral.
GCUCGGUGAUGAUAUAAAGGCUAAUGUGACUUGACCAGCUGGGUUGCACCCGCAGCUCAUUCCUGUCAUACGGGUCUGUAAUCUUGGUGGACGACGCUGAGCUGUGCGUGUUCGCUGUAAGGGCAGGCCGACAGAAAACCCCCUUUCCCGUGUCCCUGGAAAGCACAUCUUUGGGAUGUAUCAGCUCUGAGUGAGUUUUUUAUGAGCUGAUGGGGAUCUGUGGGGAUAGGAUAAGAGAGUCCAUCCAAGGUUUGGGUUGCAGGGGACAGCCCGUGUUAGAGCUGGUGAGAUGUGAGCACACAUCUUUGGUAAUCUGAUGACU